This 323-nucleotide ribosomal RNA is filed under the name Pseudoduganella rivuli. Its description in RNAcentral is "partial 23S ribosomal RNA". It matches the Rfam family "Bacterial large subunit ribosomal RNA", at positions 157 to 516 of the family's 2925-position model. Lineage: Bacteria; Pseudomonadati; Pseudomonadota; Betaproteobacteria; Burkholderiales; Oxalobacteraceae. The record is from RNAcentral.
GCUGAAUACAUAGGCUAACGAAGCGAACGCGGCGAACUGAAACAUCUAAGUAGCUGCAGGAAAAGAAAUCAACCGAGAUUCCCAAAGUAGUGGCGAGCGAAAUGGGAAGAGCCUGUACGUGAUAGUCGUUUGAAUAGUGGAAGCUUCUGGAAAUAAGCGCCAUAGAGGGUGAUAGCCCCUUACACGAAAUUCAAGCGGUGGUACUAAGCGUACGACAAGUAGGGCGGGACACGAGAAAUCCUGUCUGAACAUGGGGGGACCAUCCUCCAAGGCUAAAUACUCGUAAUCGACCGAUAGUGAACCAGUACCGUGAGGGAAAGGCG